This 449-nucleotide ribosomal RNA is filed under the name uncultured Flavobacteriaceae bacterium. Its description in RNAcentral is "bacterial SSU rRNA". It matches the Rfam family "Bacterial small subunit ribosomal RNA", at positions 45 to 489 of the family's 1533-position model. Lineage: Bacteria; Pseudomonadati; Bacteroidota; Flavobacteriia; Flavobacteriales; Flavobacteriaceae. The record is from RNAcentral.
GGCCUUAUACAUGCAAGUCGAACGGUAACAUUGGUGCUUGCACCAGAUGACGAGUGGCGCACGGGUGCGUAACGCGUAUGCAACCUACCUUUUACUAGAGUAUAGCCCAGAGAAAUUUGGAUUAAUCCUCUAUAACAUCUUUUAAUUUCAUGAUUAUUAGAUUAAAGUUUUAACGGUAAAAGAUGGGCAUGCGUCCUAUUAGUUUGUAGGUGAGGUAACGGCUCACCUAGACUACGAUAGGUAGGGGCCCUGAGAGGGGGAUCCCCCACACUGGUACUGAGACACGGACCAGACUCCUACGGGAGGCAGCAGUAAGGAAUAUUGGACAAUGGACGAAAGUCUGAUCCAGCCAUGCCGCGUGCAGGAUGAAAGCCCUAUGGGUUGUAAACUGCUUUUAUACAGGAAGAAAAACUCCGACGUGUCGGAGCUUGACGGUACUGUAAGAAUAA